RNAcentral lists this small RNA (922 nucleotides) under uncultured Chloroflexus sp. RNAcentral's name for it is "bacterial SSU rRNA". The stretch from base 1 to 458 matches the Rfam family "Bacterial small subunit ribosomal RNA", at positions 1064 to 1533 of the family's 1533-position model. Lineage: Bacteria; Bacillati; Chloroflexota; Chloroflexia; Chloroflexales; Chloroflexaceae. The record is from RNAcentral.
GCCGUGAGGUGUUGGGUUAAGUCCCGCAACGAGCGCAACCCCUAGGUCUAGUUAGUUUCCUAGACCGACUGCCGGGACCAACCCGGAGGAAGGUGGGGAUGACGUCAAGUCAGCACGGCCCUUACGUCCUGGGCUACACACACGCUACAAUGGCCGGUACAGCGGGCGUCGCGAAGCCGCGAGGCGGAGCCAAUCCCUGCAAAGCCGGCCCCAGUGCAGAUCGGGGGCUGCAACUCGCCCCCGUGAAGUCGGAGUUGCUAGUAACCGCGGGUCAGCACACCGCGGUGAAUACGUUCCCGGGCCUUGUACACACCGCCCGUCACGUCACGAAAGCCGGGGGCGCCUGAAGCCGGCGGGGUAACCCUUCGGGGGGCCAGCCGUCGAGGGCGAAAUCGGUGAUUGGGACGAAGUCGUAACAAGGUAGCCGUACCGGAAGGUGCGGCUGGAUCACCUCCUUUCUAGGGAGACCAUCACCCCCGCGGACCAAACGGUCCGAGGAGGGGGCGGGAUCCUCAGGUCGAUCGGGGUCUGUGACGAGCCAUCUUCCCAUCGCUCUUCUGCUGUGGACGCGAGACCACACAGGAGCCUAUAAUCUUCGGCGUGUUCGAGCGGGGACGGCUGACGAGGGUGGACGUGCGGUAGGCACGGUCCCAGCUCCGAGUCGGUCGGCCCGAGCGGCGGGCCGUUUUUUUGUGGGCUGAUUAACAAACGAAGAGUGAGUCAAGCCGACCGGCGGCGGCAUCUGCGUCCUAGCAGGUGCGCCGCCGAUGAACGAUGUCGAUUGAGCGGAGGGCGCGACGAAUGCGUCCUGCGUUAGAGAGUGCUCCCGGGGGAUGCCCUGGGCGCCGGAGGCCGAGGAAGGGCGGGCGCGAGGGUCCGAGAGCGUGGGGGAGCCCCCUGGCGGGCGUGGAUCCCACGGUGC